CACUGAGGUAGAUCUCGUUUUACUUGAAAUCAGAUGCAGGUGAACCUCACCUUAGUUUCAAAAUAAGUCUUCUGCAGUCUCAUUAGUAUGGACAGACAGAGGAGAUGAAGGACAGCCCCUUUCCCUCUUGCUCCAGUUUCCCCAGCUUUUCACCAUUGCUGCUGUUGGCUGUUGGCUCCUGCUCCGUGUGGGUGAAGGGGACAGACGUCCCAGCCAAGUGCACAUACAUCAUUCACACUGCUUCCAAAACACAAGGAUGGUUAAAGCUGUGGAAGGUUGUGUGAAACCUCAGAGUAUCCUGAGCAUGAUGGAGCAGGGGAGAAGUGUCUUGGACAUUUCAAGCCAGCUCAGAAACAUGCUCAGCAACAUCAGCAAAUAGUAUGAAUGCAACAAGGAGCAAAUCCAGAUUGAGUCCUGACUACAGCUGAGCCAAAGCCAAUCUGACACCAGUGCAGCCGAAGUCAGCAUCUGUCCCUAAGCUGCUUGUAACAUACCAUGACAUUUGCUAACACAGGAGUCACAAGUGCAUAAUUAUCAACUUUACACAUUUAAUAGCCUUAAAGCUAAUACUCUGGCACAAGAAACCAUUACAUGACUGAUUUCACAGCUCUCGGUUUUGCAGGAAGAAUUUCCUUCUCACCUGUGACCAGUUAAGUAAUUGCACUGCCAAUUAAAUAUCUGGAAGUGCUUUGUUGCACAGUCAAAGGCUGGCCUGCUCUGCUACUCCAGACUACACAGACCAAGCACAGGGACACACACACACACACAUGUGGCAAGAUGCAGCUUGCGACUUAAUUAAUUCCCACAAUUAAUGAAUUCUUCCAAACUCAGUUACCUGACUUCAGGCUACUCAAGGAGAAGUCCACAUACUACUUGGUAAAGCCCUCAAGGUUGACCUGGUGACUUCCCUGUCCUGUCACUGGCCCCCUAGUUCAAGAGAAUGAUCUUCUUGCUGUGUUGUUAUUGAACACCUGAUUAUUUUCUCUCAGCAUGUAAUCUUGCAUCUUUACAGCUUAAAAAAUACCCUAAAGUUAGGAGCCAGCCUUGCUGAAGCACUGCUUGCAGCUUGCACACUCUAUUUAGGAUGGCUGUGAAAAGUCAAACUGCAAAUCCAGAGCACCGUCACUGCACAAACAAUCUGAGUUCUGCUCAGAGAUUUUGUGUUAUCUGCACCUCCCCAAGGUUUUUCUCCCCACAGAAAUGCAACCCCAAAGUACAAAAGACAGCCCAGGCUGAGCCAUGCCAUGGGAGCUGAGGUUCAAACCAGGCUUGGUGCAGCCUGGAGAAUCAUGCUGGUCUCUCUGGUGGUGGCUCAAAAGCCUGGCACCAGGAGCCUUGAAGACUGAGGUCCAUGCACGCUGCCAGGGGGCCAAACCUCAUGGAAGGCAGCCAGCAAACUGCUGGCACUGCUGACAUUUGAGAAACCACAGCAACCAGAUUUGCUAGAGCUUACUCAUUGGCCCCUCUUACACUGCAAUUUGUUUGCUGUCAACCUGACAAUUAAAUAGAUGCCUUGAUUUGUGUUUUGUCCCAGGGCUCUGCUGGCACUUUGGAGGUUAGAUAACAGCAGUUGCCCCAGUCUGUCCACUGUGCUCCUGCAGGGUCAGAUCCCCAGCACUGGUAAGGGUCAUCAUUAGCCAGCUCCUAAAGCAAAUGCAUUUUCAGGAUCCCAGCACAAAACCCUGCAGGAAUUGCGAGCACCUUCUCAUAUUUGUUUCUGAUAAUAGCUCCACUUUGAAGUGUUGCCAGGGAAUUAUUGGAAAUCCAGGGGUAAGAGAAGUUAUGCAAGAGCAGAACCGGUGCAUACACAGCUAGGAGAGGAGAUUGUCCUCAGCCUCUUGAGGUGGACACUAAAUUGCACCCAGAAAUCCUCCAUUAAUUACUGAACAAACCUAGCUAAAAUGAUUGCAAAAACAGCAGAAGAAGCUUUCUCAUAAGAUGAACAGAGAAGAUUUAUUUUUCCUGAUUCUGGUAGAGCAAAGAUACUGCACUGUUCACAGAACCCCUCUACACUGAUCAGGUCAAAGUAAGGCAUGGAGGUACAGUCCCACCACACCAGCAUGAUGAGCUUUGCAAUAACACAGCAUUUAAAAACAAGCACCUGGGAGAAAUGCUGACAGGCAUGGAGGGGACUGGACUCAAAACAGAAAGAGAAUAAAAGACUUGCUUUCAAGUUCAAGUUUUUACUGACUGGAUGAACCUCUUGACACAAGGAGAGAAUGAUUUAUAUAUAAAGUGAUAUGAGAAUAACAACCAGUCUCAUUAAAGAUAAAUUUUCCUGUGCAAUUUCCUGUAAUUUGGAAAAAAAUAGUGUUGAAGACACUCCUGGGGUGCUCAGUCUCACCUCUGCCCUAAGAAACAUUCUGCUGCACCAUGAGCAUUUGACUUCCAGCUCCUUCCUGUGCAGACAUGGAAUGCUCAUGCCUACUCACUGCCAUGCAUCACUGUAAGUGGCAUCUGUUGGAUGCUUUUAAGCUGUGAAUUACUGAAAGGAAAUGUACAACCCACAUCUCAAGCCUAGGGAGCAGAUGACAGACUCAAACCUCUUUGAUACAGUCAUUACCCUUACUAAAGUGAAUGUAAUAAGUCUUCCUGCAAUCCUUACAGGACAGAUAGACACGAUAGUCAUGACGCUAAAAAGUACUGCACAAGAAACCUUCAAAAUUAGCAGCACAGGAAGACUGGGAGGGAGGUUUAUUUUUUCAGCUGCAUUCAGGAAGGCCUCUGCAGGACAUAGCUAAAUCACCCUGGCUUUUCACCCUUUCGCCUUGAUUGCAACUGUUUGGAAGAUAAACACUAGCCUAUCUUUAGCAUUGGCAUCUCCCAUGUUAUUCGCUCUGAAAUGGAACAGAAAAAUGUCAACAAAGAACAGUUGAAGAGAAACUCAUUUAUUCAGCCUAACCACUGGAAUAUGACAUUUUCCUCAAACAUGCUACAGCAGAUUUUCAAAUCCUCUUUGUAGAUGUGUUAACAUCUACAUCUGUCUCUUGAAACAGAAAAGAACACAGCUAUUCUCGCCCUUCCAGGAAGUGAGUAUCCAAUGCCCUGCUGCUGGCUGGUGCAGCACAGCCUCCUGUGCCUCCUGCACGGUGGCAGCACAGCUGCACGCUGAAGGAGGGAUGGCAACAGCAAAGGUAAAGGGCCUGCUAGCAGCCCCAGCUGCAAAACAAAAAUUAGGAGUGAGGACAAGCGUCAUGUGCUCACAGCCUCUUGAAGCUACCCUACACUUUGUGUACCACAGGGAUUUCCACCAGACCUGAAAGCAAAGGGAAACUGAAAAGUAGCCUAAAAGCUGCGGUACUGGAAGGACAC
This 3312-nucleotide long non-coding RNA is filed under the name Taeniopygia guttata (zebra finch). Its description in RNAcentral is "lncRNA (ENSTGUG00000028284.1)". The record is from RNAcentral. Lineage: Eukaryota; Metazoa; Chordata; Aves; Passeriformes; Estrildidae.